RNAcentral lists this ribosomal RNA (508 nucleotides) under uncultured bacterium. Its description in RNAcentral is "partial 16S ribosomal RNA". It matches the Rfam family "Bacterial small subunit ribosomal RNA", at positions 28 to 507 of the family's 1533-position model. The record is from RNAcentral.
GACGAACGCUGGCGGCGUGCUUAACACAUGCAAGUCGAACGGGCCUUGUCCCCUUUUUUUUUGGGGGUGGGGUUAGUGGCGAACGGGUGAGUAACACGUGAGUAACCUGCCCCUCACUUCUGGAUAACCGCUUGAAAGGGUGGCUAAUACGGGGUGUUCUGGCCUGCUCGCAUGGGUGGGUUUGGAAAGAUUCGACCGGUUUUGGUUGUUUUGGUGGGGGAUGGGCUCGCGGCCUAUCAGCUUGUUGGUGGGGUGAUGGCCUGCCAAGGCUUUGACGGGUAGCCGGCCUGAGAGGGUGGGCGGUCACACUGGGACUGAGACACGGCCCAGACUCCUACGGGAGGCAGCAGUGGGGAAUAUUGCACAAUGGGCGCAAGCCUGAUGCAGCGACGCCGCGUGAGGGAUGGAGGCCUUCGGGUUGUGAACCUCUUUCGCCAGUGAAGAAGGUCCUGCUCUUUGUGGUGGGGCUGACGGUAGCUGGGUUAAUGAAGCGCCGGCUAACUACGUG